This 436-nucleotide ribosomal RNA is filed under the name uncultured Oscillospiraceae bacterium. RNAcentral describes it as "partial 16S ribosomal RNA". It matches the Rfam family "Bacterial small subunit ribosomal RNA", at positions 341 to 792 of the family's 1533-position model. Lineage: Bacteria; Bacillati; Bacillota; Clostridia; Eubacteriales; Oscillospiraceae. The record is from RNAcentral.
ACGGAAGGCAGCAGUGGGGAAUAUUAGGCAAUGGGGGCAACCCUGACCUAGCAACGCCGCGUGAAGGAAGAAGGCCUUCGGGUUGUAAACUUCUUUUAUAGGGGACGAAAGAAAUGACGGUACCCUAUGAAUAAGCCACGGCUAACUACGUGCCAGCAGCCGCGGUAAUACGUAGGUGGCAAGCGUUGUCCGGAUUUACUGGGUGUAAAGGGCGCGUAGGCGGGAUGGCAAGUCAGAUGUGAAAUCCAUGGCUCAACCCAUGAACUGCAUUUGAAACUGUUAUUCUUGAGUAUCGGAGAGGCAAGCGGAAUUCCUAGUGUAGCGGUGAAAUGCGUAGAUAUUCGGAGGAACACCAGUGGCGAAGGCGGCUUGCUGGGCUCUAACUGACGCUGAGGCUCGAAAGUGUGGGGAGCAAACAGGAUUAGGUACCCUGGUA